Molecule: small RNA, 912 nt
Filed under: Pongo abelii (Sumatran orangutan)
Lineage: Eukaryota; Metazoa; Chordata; Mammalia; Primates; Hominidae
Description: sense overlapping
Source: RNAcentral
AAAAUACAAAACUUACCCAGGCGUGGUGGCGCACGCAUGUAAUCCCAACUACUCGGGAGGCUGAGGCACGAGAAUUGCUUGAACCUGGGAGGCGGAGGUUGCAGUGAGCCAAGAUCGCACCACUGCACUCCAGCCUGGGUGACAGAGUGGAGACUGACUCACAGAAAAAAAAAGAAAUCUCACUCUCACAUCUCACCAGAGGUCUUGCCAGCCUACAGGUCCAUUUCCCUUCUUGGUCUUACGUCUCAGGGUCUAAGAGACAGGUAAAUAAAUCAUUAAAGAAUGAUUUAUCUGAUAGUUCAGGGGCCACAGUAAGAUAAUUUUUCAGGCUGAGCAUGGUGGCUCAUGCCUGUAAUCCAGCAUUUUGGAAGGCCAAGAUGAGGAUCACUUGAGGCCAGGAGUUUGAGACCAGCCUGGGCAACAUGGCAAGACCCCCAUCUCUAUGAAAAAUAGAGAUAAAAAGAAGAAAUAAAAGAAGUGUGCCCCUUUCCCACUGAGCAAAAGCAUCCUCCCGAGGACCCCAGGUGUGUUUUGAGUGUCAAUUCUGGCCGGGUGCUGUGGUGUAGCCAUGAUCCACAACACAGUCCUUGUCCACAAGGAAGUUAAAAUCUUAAGGAAAGCGAGACUGUUGUGGUCCAGCUGCACAUGCCUGUGCAUUGAGACCUAAAGCUCAUAGAGAUGCUCACUCUAGGGGACCAUCACAGUUUGGCCCCUGCCACCCUCCAACAUCACCAAAACCACUGUUGUUGCAAUUGGGGAACUCCCUGACAACUGUUGGACAGAUACCACAUGCCAAGACCCAGAAGAGACAAAUUAGUGUUUUUAGCUAUGUUGUGAGUUCUCAAAGAGCUUACAACCUGAUCAGGAGAUGAGAAGUACUUCAAGUAGUAAAUGGUCAUUGGGAAAUGCAAA